Long non-coding RNA from Dermacentor silvarum, 266 nucleotides. RefSeq lists it as uncharacterized. Lineage: Eukaryota; Metazoa; Arthropoda; Arachnida; Ixodida; Ixodidae. The transcript is spliced from 2 exons. The record is from RefSeq and is a predicted model, not a curated record.
UUUUUAUUUUCUAUGCAGUGCUACCGCUUCAAGUUCUUCAUAAGACCUCACACACCAUGACAGCAAGGAUUACGGAAGUCCUCAAAUAUUUCACGCUACAAGUUUUCAAACAACUAUGCUCCGAAAGGCUGCAUACAAUGCGGACAAAUCGCUCUUCUAACCUGCGUUUUCUUAAACAAGCUUUACUGCGGCAUUUCUGCCUUAAAUUAUACUUAUCAGGCAAGUCGAACCGCACGAUGUCCAAUAAAGCCUCAACACAGCCCUCA